RNAcentral lists this ribosomal RNA (390 nucleotides) under uncultured bacterium. RNAcentral's name for it is "bacterial SSU rRNA". It matches the Rfam family "Bacterial small subunit ribosomal RNA", at positions 1107 to 1503 of the family's 1533-position model. The record is from RNAcentral.
GUCUCUAGUUGCUACGAAAGGGCACUCUAGAGAGACUGCCGGUGACAAACCGGAGGAAGGUGGGGAUGACGUCAAGUCCUCAUGGCCCUUAUGGGUAGGGCUUCACACGUCAUACAAUGGUGCAUACAGAGGGUUGCCAGGCCGCGAGGUGGAGCUAAUCCCAGAAAAUGCAUCGUAGUCCGGAUCGUAGUCUGCAACUCGACUACGUGAAGCUGGAAUCGCUAGUAAUCGCGGAUCAGCAUGCCGCGGUGAAUACGUUCCCGGGUCUUGUACACACCGCCCGUCACACCAUGGGAGUGGGCUUUACCAGAAGUAGUUAGCCUAACCGCGAGGAGGGCGAUUACCACGGUAGGGUUCAUGACUGGGGUGAAGUCGUAACAAGGUAACCGU